GAUGAACGCUGGCGGCGUGCCUAACACAUGCAAGUCGAACGAACACACGAGGAGCGCUUUCUUCUGCCGUUGGCGGCGGGCGGGUGAGUAACAAGUAGAUCACCUACUUCUAAUACUGGGGUAACUUCGGGAGACCGGAUCCACUACUAGAUAAUAUAUUCAACCGCAUGGUUCAAUAGAGAUUGACGGUUUUGGUGUCACUUUUAGCUGGAUCCGGGUCGCAUUAGCUAGUUGGUAAGGUAACGGCUUACCAAGGCAACGAUGCGUAGCCGAGCUGAGAGGAUGAUCGGCCACACUGGAACUGAGACACGGUCCAGACUCCUACGGGAGGCAGCAGUAGGGAAUAUUGGGCAAUGGGCGAAAGCCUGACGCAGCAAUGCCGUGUGAGUGAUGAAGGCCUUCGGAUCGUAAAGCUCUGUUGUUGGGGAAGAACAACUGUGUGAGAAUCUAUGGCCGUCUUGACGGUACCUAAAGAGAAAGCAACGGCUAACUACGUG
This 497-nucleotide ribosomal RNA is filed under the name uncultured bacterium. RNAcentral describes it as "partial 16S ribosomal RNA". It matches the Rfam family "Bacterial small subunit ribosomal RNA", at positions 28 to 507 of the family's 1533-position model. The record is from RNAcentral.